UACGGAGGGGGCAAGCGUUGUUCGGAAUUACUGGGCGUAAAGGGCGCGUAGGCGGCCCGCUAAGUCGAACGUGAAAUCCCCGGGCUCAACCCGGGAACUGCGUCCGAUACUGGUGGGCUCGAAUCCGGGAGAGGGAUGCGGAAUUCCAGGUGUAGCGGUGAAAUGCGUAGAUAUCUGGAGGAACACCGGUGGCGAAGGCGGCAUCCUGGACCGGUAUUGACGCUGAGGCGCGAAAGCCAGGGGAGCAAACGGG
This 253-nucleotide ribosomal RNA is filed under the name uncultured bacterium. RNAcentral's name for it is "partial 16S ribosomal RNA". It matches the Rfam family "Bacterial small subunit ribosomal RNA", at positions 524 to 776 of the family's 1533-position model. The record is from RNAcentral.